RNAcentral lists this ribosomal RNA (801 nucleotides) under uncultured bacterium. Its description in RNAcentral is "partial 16S ribosomal RNA". It matches the Rfam family "Bacterial small subunit ribosomal RNA", at positions 8 to 798 of the family's 1533-position model. The record is from RNAcentral.
AGAGUUUGAUCAUGGCUCAGAACGAACGCUGGCGGCGCGCCUAAUACAUGCAAGUCGAGCGAGAAGACGUAGCAAUACGUUUGUAAAGCGGCGAACGGGUGAGGAAUACAUGGGUAACCUAACCUUGAGUGGGGAAUAACUAGCCGAAAGGUUAGCUAAUACCGCAUACGACUCUUGGUCUGCGGAUCAGGAGAGAAAGCGAUACCGUGGGUAUCGCGCUCUUGGAUGGGCUCAUGUCCUAUCAGCUUGUUGGUGAGGUAAUGGCUCACCAAGGCUUCGACGGGUAGCUGGUCUGAGAGGACGAUCAGCCACACUGGCACUGCGACACGGGCCAGACUCCUACGGGAGGCAGCAGUAAGGAAUAUUGCGCAAUGGGCGACAGCCUGACGCAGCGACGCCGCGUGGGGGAUGAAGGUCUUCGGAUUGUAAACCCCUUUCGGCAGGGAAGAUGGGACGGGCAACCGUUCGGACCGUACCUGCAGAAGCAGCCACGGCUAACUUCCGUGCCAGCGAGCCCGCGGUAAUACCAAAGGUGGCAAAGCGUUGUUCGGAUUUACUGGGCGUACAGGGAGCGUAGGCGGGUGNGUNACCCCUUCGUGAAAUCUCCGGGGCCUAACCCGAAAGUGCCGGAAGGGGACUGCUCGGCUACAGGAUGGGANANGCACCGCCCAAAUUCCCCGCGUAACGGNGAAAUGCCUNAAAACCGCGCAGGAAGGCCCGNGNCCAAAGGNGNNCUUCCUGGACNUCCUUNNGCUGAGCUCCAAAGGCGNGGAANAANCUGAUCAANACCUGGNAGUCCNC